This 337-nucleotide unclassified non-coding RNA is filed under the name soil metagenome. RNAcentral's name for it is "partial contains 5.8S ribosomal RNA, internal transcribed spacer 2, and large subunit ribosomal RNA". The stretch from base 1 to 120 matches the Rfam family "5.8S ribosomal RNA", at positions 35 to 154 of the family's 154-position model. The record is from RNAcentral.
GAUGAAGAACGCAGCGAAAUGCGAUAAGUAGUGUGAAUUGCAGAAUUCAGUGAAUCAUCGAAUCUUUGAACGCACAUUGCGCCCCUUGGUAUUCCAUGGGGCAUGCCUGUUCGAGCGUCAUCUACACCCUCAAGCUCUGCUUGGUGUUGGGCGUCUGUCCCGCCUUUGCGCGUGGACUCGCCCCAAAUUCAUUGGCAGCGGUCCUUGCCUCCUCUCGCGCAGCACAUUUGCGCUUCUCGAGGUGCGCGGGCCGCGUCCACGAAGCAACUAUUACCGUCUUUGACCUCGGAUCAGGUAGGGAUACCCGCUGAACUUAAGCAUAUCAAUAAGCGGAGGA